AGCUCUGCAGUGGCAGUAUCAUAGCCCCUUAUCUAAGGCACGAUCAUUGCUAAUUGAGAACUAUUCCCAAUACCUCGCCAUGAUGACUUGAAAUAUGGUCUGCAAUAGCAAUUUCUUUCUUUCUCUCUUUUUUUUUUUUUUUUUUUUGAGA
RNAcentral lists this small nuclear RNA (151 nucleotides) under Gorilla gorilla gorilla (western lowland gorilla). RNAcentral describes it as "U4 spliceosomal RNA". The stretch from base 1 to 129 matches the Rfam family "U4 spliceosomal RNA". From Rfam's summary of the family: U4 small nuclear RNA (U4 snRNA) is a component of the major U2-dependent spliceosome. The record is from Rfam by way of RNAcentral. Lineage: Eukaryota; Metazoa; Chordata; Mammalia; Primates; Hominidae.